UAUUAUAACAUAUAGAAAUUAAACUUGUGACCUAUUUUGAUAUCACUUGUUGGAUCAUUGAUGUUAAUCAUAAUAAGGUUGACCUAUUUAAAAAUAAUUAUUUAAUUCACUUAAAUUGCCCGGAUUUAACAUCCAUGAGUUUCAAUUGUGAUUUGGCCCACUCCAGUCUCCACUACGUGGACAUGAUGCUGGCUGAUUACCAACAAUACUAUAU
RNAcentral lists this long non-coding RNA (214 nucleotides) under Ananas comosus (pineapple). RNAcentral describes it as "long non-coding RNA (ACOM_LNC017183)". Lineage: Eukaryota; Viridiplantae; Streptophyta; Magnoliopsida; Poales; Bromeliaceae. The record is from RNAcentral.